Molecule: ribosomal RNA, 492 nt
Filed under: uncultured bacterium
Lineage: Bacteria
Description: partial 16S ribosomal RNA
Rfam family: Bacterial small subunit ribosomal RNA
Source: RNAcentral
AGUGAACGCUGGCGGUAGGCCUAACACAUGCAAGUCGAACGGCAGCACAGUAAGAGCUUGCUCUUACGGGUGGCGAGUGGCGGACGGGUGAGGAAUACAUCGGAAUCUACUUUUUCGUGGGGGAUAACGUAGGGAAACUUACGCUAAUACCGCAUACGACCUACGGGUGAAAGCAGGAGAUCUUCGGACCUUGCGCGAUUGAAUGAGCCGAUGUCGGAUUAGCUAGUUGGCGGGGUAAAGGCCCACCAAGGCGACGAUCCGUAGCUGGUCUGAGAGGAUGAUCAGCCACACUGGAACUGAGACACGGUCCAGACUCCUACGGGAGGCAGCAGUGGGGAAUAUUGGACAAUGGGCGAAAGCCUGAUCCAGCCAUGCCGCGUGAGUGAAGAAGGCCUUCGGGUUGUAAAGCCCUUUUGUUGGGAAAGAAAAGCGGCAGGUUAAUCCACCGCUGUUCUGACGGUACCCAAAGAAUAAGCACCGGCUAACUUCGUG